Molecule: ribosomal RNA, 274 nt
Filed under: uncultured bacterium
Lineage: Bacteria
Description: partial 16S ribosomal RNA
Rfam family: Bacterial small subunit ribosomal RNA
Source: RNAcentral
UAAACCCUACGGGGCGCAGCAGUAGGGAAUCUUCCACAAUGGACGAAAGUCUGAUGGAGCAACGCCGCGUGAGUGAAGAAGGGUUUCGGCUCGUAAAGCUCUGUUGGUAGUGAAGAAAGGUAGAGGUAGUAACUGGCCUUUAUUUGACGGUAAUUACUUAGAAAGUCACGGCUAACUACGUGCCAGCAGCCGCGGUAAUACGUAGGUGGCAAGCGUUGUCCGGAUUUAUUGGGCGUAAAGCGAGUGCAGGCGGGUCAAUAAGGCUGAUGGUGAA